AGCGAGGUAGUUCAGCGGCAGAACGGUCGGCUCUUAACCGAUUGGACGCAGGUUCGAGCCCUGCCCUCGUUU
This 72-nucleotide transfer RNA is filed under the name Acidobacteriota bacterium. RNAcentral's name for it is "Acidobacteria bacterium (activated sludge metagenome) tRNA-Lys". It matches the Rfam family "tRNA". Rfam says of the family: Transfer RNA (tRNA) molecules are approximately 80 nucleotides in length. The record is from RNAcentral. Lineage: Bacteria; Pseudomonadati; Acidobacteriota.